Molecule: ribosomal RNA, 1432 nt
Filed under: uncultured Pelagibacterales bacterium
Lineage: Bacteria; Pseudomonadati; Pseudomonadota; Alphaproteobacteria; Candidatus Pelagibacterales
Description: bacterial SSU rRNA
Rfam family: Bacterial small subunit ribosomal RNA
Source: RNAcentral
GAGUUUGCUCCUGGCUCAGAACGUACGCUGGCGGCACGCCUAACACAUGCAAGUCGAACGAAGUAGCAAUACUUAGUGGCAGACGGGUGAGUAACAUGUAGGUAUCUGCCCUUUGGCCUGGAAUAACACGAGGAAACUUGUGCUAAUACCGGAUAAGUCUUUACGGAGAAAGCUUUAUGCACCAUUGGAUGAGCCUGCACUUGAUUAGUUUGUUGGUAGGGUAAUGGCCUACCAAGACUUUGAUCAAUAGCUGAUUUGAGAGGAUGAUCAGCCACAUUGGGACUGAGACACGGCCCAAACUCCUACGGGAGGCAGCAGUGGGGAAUCUUGCACAAUGGAGGAAACUCUGAUGCAGCGAUGCCGCGUGAGUGAAGAAGGCCUUUGGGUUGUAUAUCUCUUUCGUCGGCCCAGAAAAUGACUGUACCCGAAUAAGAAGGUCCGGCUAACUUCGUGCCAGCAGCCGCGGUAAUACGAAGGGACCUAGCGUAGUUCGGAAUUACUGGGCUUAAAGAGUUCGUAGGUGGUUGAAAAAGUUGGUGGUGAAAUCCCAGAGCUUAACUCUGGAACUGCCAUCAAAACUUUUCAGCUAGAGUUUGAUAGAGGAAAGCAGAAUUUCUAGUGUAGAGGUGAAAUUCGUAGAUAUUAGAAAGAAUACCAAUUGCGAAGGCAGCUUUCUGGAUCAUUACUGACACUGAGGAACGAAAGCAUGGGUAGCGAAGAGGAUUAGAUACCCUCGUAGUCCAUGCCGUAAACGAUGUGUGUUAGACGUUGGAAAUUUAUUUUCAGUGUCGCAGCGAAAGCGAUAAACACACCGCCUGGGGAGUACGACCGCAAGGUUAAAACUCAAAUGAAUUGACGGGGACCCGCACAAGUAGUGGAGCAUGUGGUUUAAUUCGAAGAUACGCGCAGAACCUUACCAACACUUGACAUGUUCGUCGCGACUCUAAGAGAUUAGAGUUUUCGGUUCGGCCGGACGAAACACAGGUGCUGCAUGGCUGUCGUCAGCUCGUGUCGUGAGAUGUUGGGUUAAGUCCCGCAACGAGCGCAACCCUCACUUUUAGUUGCCAUCAUUAAGUUGGGCACUCUGAAAGAACUGCCAGUGAUAAGCUGGAGGAAGGUGGGGAUGACGUCAAGUCCUCAUGGCCCUUACGUGUUGGGCUACACACGUGCUACAAUGGUAUCUACAACAGGAAGCAAGACUGCGAGGUUAAGCAAAUCCUUAAAAGAUACCUCAGUUCGGAUUGCACUCUGCAACUCGAGUGCAUGAAGCUGGAAUUACUAGUAAUCGUGGAUCAGCGUGCCACGGUGAAUGCGUUCCCGGGUCUUGUACACACCGCCCGUCACACCAUGGGAGUUGGUUCUACCUUAAGGCAAGGUUUAAAACCCUUGACCACGGUAUAGUCAGCGACUGGGGUGAAGUCGUAACAAGGUA